GCCCGGAUAGCUCAGUUGGGAGAGCAGGGGAUUGAAAAUCCCCGUGUCCUUGGUUCGAUCCCGAGUCCGGGCACCA
This 76-nucleotide transfer RNA is filed under the name Escherichia coli. RNAcentral's name for it is "tRNA from Escherichia coli (PDB 7N2C, chain Dt)". It matches the Rfam family "tRNA". Rfam says of the family: Transfer RNA (tRNA) molecules are approximately 80 nucleotides in length. Their secondary structure includes four short double-helical elements and three loops (D, anti-codon, and T loops). Lineage: Bacteria; Pseudomonadati; Pseudomonadota; Gammaproteobacteria; Enterobacterales; Enterobacteriaceae. RNAcentral also lists the same sequence under 1 other name. The record is from RNAcentral.